UGCGGGGUGGAGCAGUUCGGUAGCUCGCUGGGCUCAUAACCCAGAGGUCGCAGGUUCAAAUCCUGCCCCCGCUA
Molecule: transfer RNA, 74 nt
Organism: Thermobispora bispora DSM 43833
Lineage: Bacteria; Bacillati; Actinomycetota; Actinomycetes; Streptosporangiales; Streptosporangiaceae
Rfam family: tRNA
About the family: Transfer RNA (tRNA) molecules are approximately 80 nucleotides in length. Their secondary structure includes four short double-helical elements and three loops (D, anti-codon, and T loops).
Source: Rfam